This 28-nucleotide non-coding RNA is filed under the name Rattus norvegicus (Norway rat). Lineage: Eukaryota; Metazoa; Chordata; Mammalia; Rodentia; Muridae. The record is from RNAcentral.
UGGUUAAUGAGAUGUUACUAACCCCCCA